CACAUGCAAGUCGCGCGGUCAGCAAUGGCAGCGGCGGACGGGUGCGUAACGCGUAGGAACGUGUCUAGAGGUGGGGGACAACCCUGGGAAACUGGGGCUAAUACCGCAUAUGGGCUGAGGCCCAAAGCCGUGAGGCGCCUUUGGAGCGGCCUGCGUCCGAUUAGCUAGUUGGUGGGGUAAAGGCCUACCAAGGCUCCGAUCGGUAGCUGGUCUGAGAGGACGAUCAGCCACACUGGGACUGAGACACGGCCCAGACUCCUACGGGAGGCAGCAGUGGGGAAUAUUGGACAAUGGGCGCAAGCCUGAUCCAGCAAUGCCGCGUGGGUGAAGAAGGUCUUCGGAUCGUAAAGCCCUUUCGACAGGGGCGAUGAUGACGGUACCUGUAGAAGAAGCCCCGGCUAACUUCGUGCCAGCAGCCGCGGUAAUACGAAGGGGGCUAGCGUUGCUCGGAAUUACUGGGCGUAAAGGGCGCGUAGGCGGCUUAGUCAGUCAGGCGUGAAAUUCCUGGGCUUAACCUGGGGGCUGCGUUUGAGACGGCUAGGCUAGAGGGUAGGAGAGG
RNAcentral lists this ribosomal RNA (559 nucleotides) under uncultured bacterium. RNAcentral describes it as "bacterial SSU rRNA". It matches the Rfam family "Bacterial small subunit ribosomal RNA", at positions 52 to 657 of the family's 1533-position model. The record is from RNAcentral.